RNAcentral lists this ribosomal RNA (429 nucleotides) under Actinomycetes bacterium. RNAcentral's name for it is "Actinobacteria bacterium partial 16S ribosomal RNA". It matches the Rfam family "Bacterial small subunit ribosomal RNA", at positions 355 to 776 of the family's 1533-position model. Lineage: Bacteria; Bacillati; Actinomycetota; Actinomycetes. The record is from RNAcentral.
UAGGGAAUCUUCCGCAAUGGGCGAAAGCCUGACGGAGCAACGCCGCGUGAGUGAUGAAGGUCUUCGGAUCGUAAAACUCUGUUAUUAGGGAAGAACAAAUGUGUAAGUAACUAUGCACGUCUUGACGGUACCUAAUCAGAAAGCCACGGCUAACUACGUCCCAGCAGCCGCGGUAAUACGUAGGUUGCAAGCGUUAUCCGGACUUAUUGGGCGUAAAGCGCGCGUAGGCGGUUUUUUAAGUCUGAUGUGAAACCCCACGGCUCAACCGUGGAGGGUCAUUGGAAACUGGACAACUUGAGUGCAGAAGAGGAAAGUGGAAUUCCAUGUGUAGCGGUGAAAUGCGCAGAGAUAUGGAGGAACCCCAGUGGCGAAGGCGACUUUCUGGUCUGUAACUGACGCUGAUGUGCGAAAGCGUGGGGAUCAAACAGG